AGCGGGAUGAGCUCAAAUUUAAAAUCUGGCGGCCUCAGGUCGUCCGAGUUGUAGUCUAGAGAAUCGUUUUCCGCGUUGGCCUGUGUACAAGUCCCUUGGAACAGGGCGUCAUAGAGGGUGAGAAUCCCGUCCUUGACACAGAUUACCAAUGCUUUGUGAUGCGAUCUCGAAGAGUCGAGUUGUUUGGGAAUGCAGCUCAAAAUGGGUGGUAAAUUCCAUCUAAAGCUAAAUAUUGGCGAGAGACCGAUAGCGAACAAGUACCGUGAGGGAAAGAUGAAAAGCACUUUGGAAAGAGAGUUAAACAGUACGUGAAAUUGUUAAAAGGGAAACGAUUGAAGUCAGUCAUGCUUUCCGAGACUCAGCCGAUUCUGUCGGUGUACUUCUCGGUUGGCAGGCCAGCAUCAGUUUCGAUCUGUGGAAAAGGUUGGAGGGAACGUGGCAUCUCCGGAUGUGUUAUAGCCCUUCUUCGAAUACAUAGAGCGGGACUGAGGAACGCAGCGCGCCUUUUAUUAGGUUGGCCCUCGGGUACAUACGCGCUUAGGAUGCUGGCAUAAUGGCUUUAAACGACCCGUCUUGAAACACGGACC
Molecule: ribosomal RNA, 587 nt
Filed under: Mrakia sp. DBVPG 4974
Lineage: Eukaryota; Fungi; Basidiomycota; Tremellomycetes; Cystofilobasidiales; Mrakiaceae
Description: eukaryotic LSU rRNA
Rfam family: Eukaryotic large subunit ribosomal RNA
Source: RNAcentral